RNAcentral lists this ribosomal RNA (504 nucleotides) under Mycolicibacterium fortuitum. Its description in RNAcentral is "bacterial SSU rRNA". It matches the Rfam family "Bacterial small subunit ribosomal RNA", at positions 1 to 524 of the family's 1533-position model. The record is from RNAcentral. Lineage: Bacteria; Bacillati; Actinomycetota; Actinomycetes; Mycobacteriales; Mycobacteriaceae.
UGGAGAGUUUGAUCCUGGCUCAGGACGAACGCUGGCGGCGUGCUUAACACAUGCAAGUCGAACGGAAAGGUCUCUUCGGAGAUACUCGAGUGGCGAACGGGUGAGUAACACGUGGGCAAUCUGCCCUGCACUUCGGGAUAAGCCUGGGAAACUGGGUCUAAUACCGGAUAGGACCACUUGGCGCAUGCCUUGUGGUGGAAAGCUUUUGCGGUGUGGGAUGGGCCCGCGGCCUAUCAGCUAGUUGGUGGGGUGAUGGCCUACCAAGGCGACGACGGGUAGCCGGCCUGAGAGGGUGUCCGGCCACACUGGGACUGAGAUACGGCCCAGACUCCUACGGGAGGCAGCAGUGGGGAAUAUUGCACAAUGGGCGCAAGCCUGAUGCAGCGACGCCGCGUGGGGGAUGACGGCCUUCGGGUUGUAAACCUCUUUCAGCAGGGACGAAGCGCAAGUGACGGUACCUGCAGAAGAAGCACCGGCCAACUACGUGCCAGCAGCCGCGGGGUA